GACGAACGCUGGCGGCGUGCCUAAUACAUGCAAGUCGAGCGAAGUUUUUCUGGUGCUUGCACUAGAAAAACUUAGCGGCGAACGGGUGAGUAACACGUAAAGAACCUGCCUCAUAGACGGGGACAACUAUUGGAAACGAUAGCUAAUACCGGAUAACAGCAUAAAUCGCAUGAUAUAUGUUUAAAAGUUGGUUUCGGCUAACACUAUGAGAUGGCUUUGCGGUGCAUUAGCUAGUUGGUGGGGUAAAGGCCUACCAAGGCGACGAUGCAUAGCCGACCUGAGAGGGUGAUCGGCCACACUGGGACUGAGACACGGCCCAGGCUCCUACGGGAGGCAGCAGUAGGGAAUCUUCCGCAAUGGGCGAAAGCCUGACGGAGCAACGCCGCGUGAGUGAAGAAGGAUUUCGGUUCGUAAAGCUCUGUUGUUAGGGAAGAAUGAUUGUAUAGUAACUAUAUACAGUAGAGACGGUACCUAACCAGAAAGCCACGGCUAACUACGUGCCAGCAGCCGCGGUAAUACGUAGGUGGCAAGCGUUGUCCGGAAUUAUUGGGCGUAAAGCGCGCGCAGGUGGUUUAAUAAGUCUGAUGUGAAAGCCCACGGCUCAACCGUGGAGGGUCAUUGGAAACUGUUAAACUUGAGUGCAGGAGAGAAAAGUGGAAUUCCUAGUGUAGCGGUGAAAUGCGUAGAGAUUAGGAGGAACACCAGUGGCGAAGGCGGCUUUUUGGCCUGUAACUGACACUGAGGCGCGAAAGCGUGGGGAGCAAACAGG
Molecule: ribosomal RNA, 769 nt
Filed under: uncultured bacterium
Lineage: Bacteria
Description: bacterial SSU rRNA
Rfam family: Bacterial small subunit ribosomal RNA
Source: RNAcentral